CUGAGUGUUGCCCUUGUGAGGCCCAAUCUUGUCUGAUGCUGGAAGCUAAGCAGGGCUAGGCCUGGUUAGCACUUGGAUGGGACACCACUGGGCAUACUCAGAACCACAGU
RNAcentral lists this ribosomal RNA (110 nucleotides) under Periophthalmus magnuspinnatus. The record is from RNAcentral. Lineage: Eukaryota; Metazoa; Chordata; Actinopteri; Gobiiformes; Gobiidae.